This is a long non-coding RNA of Wasmannia auropunctata (little fire ant), 510 nucleotides long. RefSeq lists it as uncharacterized. Lineage: Eukaryota; Metazoa; Arthropoda; Insecta; Hymenoptera; Formicidae. The record is from RefSeq and is a predicted model, not a curated record. The transcript has 2 exons.
AGCGGGAGCGCAAAGUGUGAUGACGCAAGCUCGCCUAGCACCCCUCGAGAUUCGUGCUCGCCGAGGCGAAGAAGACGAGGAAUCUCGACAUAACGGAGAUCGAGGCGCGGUUCUCCUUUGGAAAUGUCACCGUGGAGACGAUCACUCAUUAUCCCAGCGUGCGCAAGUUGUAUCCUCAGACCGAAAAUAAUAAAGACAACGCUGCGGACGUGCAUAUGGUCGAGCAUGUCACAUCCAUAGAUUGGAGCUGCCUGGCGUUACUCUGCGACAGCCAUAUGCUGAACAAGUCAACCAGGGCGUAUAUUCAUCCCAAGCUAUCCCCGUAUAAGUGACGAGGAUGAGAUGAUGGAGUCGGAAGUAGAAGACUUAAAUCGCUUACUACUAUACUUAAACAAUAUCCCCUUUUGAAGAAUGUUAGAGUACUAUUUCUCAUUUUAUAUAGCGGAUGUUUGUUAAAAAACCCAAAAAUGUAUUAUUUUCAAUAACAGAAAGCCAAUUUCUGCCAUUGAA